Molecule: transfer RNA, 83 nt
Organism: Fistulina hepatica ATCC 64428
Lineage: Eukaryota; Fungi; Basidiomycota; Agaricomycetes; Agaricales; Fistulinaceae
Rfam family: tRNA
About the family: Transfer RNA (tRNA) molecules are approximately 80 nucleotides in length. Their secondary structure includes four short double-helical elements and three loops (D, anti-codon, and T loops).
Source: Rfam
GGACCCUUGGUGUAGUGGCUAUCACAUCUGAUUCCAGAAGUGGAAUAUCCAGAAGGUCAUCCGUUCAACUCGGGUAGGGUUCA